Long non-coding RNA from Nelumbo nucifera (sacred lotus), 1034 nucleotides. RefSeq lists it as uncharacterized. Lineage: Eukaryota; Viridiplantae; Streptophyta; Magnoliopsida; Proteales; Nelumbonaceae. The record is from RefSeq and is a predicted model, not a curated record.
UGUCAAAAUCUACAAGUUGGAGCUAUUGGAACCCAACCUCUCAAGCCUUUCUCUCGCCACUGAUUGGAGCUCGGAUUUUCUAAACCGCACUUUAAGCCUCUCUCUCGUUGCUGCAGUGAGCUGUAGUGGCAGGUUGGAACCCAACCAGCAACAGCCACUCACAUCUACCUUUCUAUUCUCAUCAUUUUUGUACCAAUCUCACCCUUCUCGCCGUCUCUUCUCCUCUCGUCACCUUUCAGAUUACUGGUCAAUCACUGAUCCCAUCUUCCAUCUCUAUCACCCAUUGAGUAGAAUCACUGGUAGUAAGGUCAGUUAAGGCGUUCCAAAGCGACAUUAACUAAGUUGUUUUUCCCUCUACACCACCGUUUGAAUCAGUCAAAAUCUGAUAGUUCGAUAUAGUUAUUCGGCGACCAAUCUUCCGUUCAUUUGGCUUCUGUUUCGACAACACCCAACAACAUUCAACGCUUAUUUUAAGGCUACAUUGAGGGAUUGAUAGAAAAGGGGUAGGGUUUCCUACCUUUUUGCUUAGGCCCCUACGUCCAAUAGGGGGUUGGAUCGGAGGAUAAGGGAGCGUUCUUCAUAUCCCUCCUUAUUGUAAGAAAACACGGAUUCUUAGCUCUAAUUCGAAUUAAAGCAGAGAAGGGAAAUCUAGUAUUCGUACUGACUAGAGAGGGGUGCCUAACCCCUUUCCUCUCUCUUUCUCAACUUACCCAAAAUGGCCUUGUCCUUGCUGAUUGGUAUGGAGUUGUUAAUUCUAAAUGAUUUUGUAAAAUUUAAAUCCGGGAGACCCAACUGUUCGGCCAUGAAGUGAACGGCCGGUGAUUUUCUUGAUGAUCACAGAAUGGCAACUCCACUGGGGAAGCUGAGAACAGUGUGAACACCAUUUCUCUUAACGGUUCCACUUGUGGCAAUCGGUUUCAGCUUUUUAACAACAAUUUGGUAUCUGCUGGUUUUAAAUUCUUAGUGGUUUCCUUUUAUUUGGUUUUGCAAAAUAUCCAAAAAAAGAGAAGAUAUAAAGUAAUUCCGUUUGUUUC